CCUACGGGGGGCAGCAGUGGGGAAUAUUGGACAAUGGGGGCAACCCUGAUCCAGCCAUGCCGCGUGUGUGAAGAAGGCCCUCGGGUUGUAAAGCACUUUCAGUGAGGAAGAACGCCUGGUGGUUUAUACCCAUCAGGAAAGACAUCACUCACAGAAGAAGCACCGGCUAACUCCGUGCCAGCAGCCGCGGUAAUACGGAGGGUGCGAGCGUUAAUCGGAAUUACUGGGCGUAAAGCGCGCGUAGGUGGCUUGAUAAGCCGGUUGUGAAAGCCCCGGGCUCAACCUGGGAACGGCAUCCGGAACUGUCAAGCUAGAGUGCAGGAGAGGAAGGUAGAAUUCCCGGUGUAGCGGUGAAAUGCGUAGAGAUCGGGAGGAAUACCAGUGGCGAAGGCGGCCUUCUGGACUGACACUGACACUGAGGUGCGAAAGCGUGGGUAGCAAACAGGAUUAGAUACCCUAGUAGUC
RNAcentral lists this ribosomal RNA (465 nucleotides) under Vreelandella stevensii. RNAcentral describes it as "partial 16S ribosomal RNA". It matches the Rfam family "Bacterial small subunit ribosomal RNA", at positions 338 to 795 of the family's 1533-position model. Lineage: Bacteria; Pseudomonadati; Pseudomonadota; Gammaproteobacteria; Oceanospirillales; Halomonadaceae. The record is from RNAcentral.